UUCUCGCAAGUGAUCCAGGA
Molecule: non-coding RNA, 20 nt
Filed under: Arabidopsis thaliana (thale cress)
Lineage: Eukaryota; Viridiplantae; Streptophyta; Magnoliopsida; Brassicales; Brassicaceae
Source: RNAcentral